Molecule: ribosomal RNA, 1147 nt
Filed under: 'Catharanthus roseus' phytoplasma
Lineage: Bacteria; Bacillati; Mycoplasmatota; Mollicutes; Acholeplasmatales; Acholeplasmataceae
Description: bacterial SSU rRNA
Rfam family: Bacterial small subunit ribosomal RNA
Source: RNAcentral
UAUUAAAGACCUAGUAAUAGGUAUGCUUUAGGAGGGGCUUGCGCCAUAUUAGUUAGUUGGUAGGGUAAUGGCCUACCAAGACGAUGAUGUGUAGCUGGACUGAGAGGUUGAACAGCCACAUUGGGACUGAGACACGGCCCAAACUCCUACGGGAGGCAGCAGUAGGGAAUUUUCGGCAAUGGAGGAAACUCUGACCGAGCAACGCCGCGUGAAUGACGAAGUACUUCGGUAUGUAAAGUUCUUUUAUCAAGGAAGAAAAGCAAAUGGCGAACCAUUUGUUUGCCGGUACUUGAUGAAUAAGCCCCGGCUAAUUAUGUGCCAGCAGCCGCGGUAAGACAUAAGGGGCAAGUGUUAUCCGGAAUUAUUGGGCGUAAAGGGUGCGUAGGCGGUCUAGUAAGUCAGUGGUGUAAUGGCAACGCUUAACGUUGUCCGGCUAUUGAAACUGCUAAACUUGAGUUAGAUAGAGGCGAGUGGAAUUCCAUGUGUAGCGGUAAAAUGCGUAAAUAUAUGGAGGAACACCAGAGGCGUAGGCGGCUCGCUGGGUCUUAACUGACGCUGAGGCACGAAAGCGUGGGGAGCAAACAGGAUUAGAUACCCUGGUAGUCCACGCCGUAAACGAUGAGUACUAAGUGUCGGGUUAAACCGGUACUGAAGUUAACACAUUAAGUACUCCGCCUGAGUAGUACGUACGCAAGUAUGAAACUUAAAGGAAUUGACGGGACUCCGCACAAGCGGUGGAUCAUGUUGUUUAAUUCGAAGAUACCCGAAAAACCUUACCAGGUCUUGACAUGUUUUUGCAAAAUGAUAGUAAUAUCGUGGAGGUUACCAGAAACACAGGUGGUGCAUGGUUGUCGUCAGCUCGUGUCGUGAGAUGUUAGGUUAAGUCCUAAAACGAGCGAAACCCUUAUCGUUAGUUGCCAGCACGUUAUGGUGGGGACUUUAACGAGACUGCCAAUGAUAAAUUGGAGGAAGGUGAGGAUCACGUCAAAUCAGCAUGCCCCUUAUGACCUGGGCUACAAACGUGAUACAAUGGCUGUUACAAAGGGUAGCUGAAACGCAAGUUCUUGGCCAAUCCCCAAAAACAGUCCCAGUCCGGAUUGAAGUCUGCAACUCGACUUCAUGAAGUUGGAAUCGCUAGUAAUCGCGA